ACUAAAAAGCUCUAUUUUCUCGCUGGCUACUCCCUCUCCCCGCCGUUCUGUCUAACUCUCUAGCCUAACUCUUUUUUAAUCUCUUCCUCCCCAACUAGGCAGCCAUCGUGACUACCACCCUUAAACGGCUCCGACGAGCUGCCAAUGCUUCUAAAACGCUCAAACUUCAACCCCCAACUCAAAACAUACCUAAACCCGAUGAAACAACCCUUUAAACUCCCAAAUAAAACCCAAGAGACGAAUUACCUUCGACUUAGGAGGUUUUGAUUCCGAGAGACGGUGACAAUCCCUUUCGAAUGGGAAAAGUUACUGAUGAAGAGAUGGGUUUUUUUGGUGCUCUGUUGAUGUGUUGUUUUUUUUUUUUGGAGAGAACGAUGGAUCCCCUCCUGUUGGUGUGUCUGAUCUACGGGUUUUGAGAGGGGCGCGUGGAAGCUUGGGAGGUGUGCAUGCAUCCAACGCACGAAUCCGAACGGUUUGAUGCUCCCUGUAUGAAUCUGGACCAUUGGAUCGCUGAUUGGAUCCAACGGUUGUAACACGUUGGCGGCAACAACAAUAUUCUAGGGUAAACAAACCCUAAAUCAGACCUAAUCUAGAUUGUUGAACUGCCCUUCAUACAAAGGCCGACGAUUGGCGGCGCACGGAUGAUGAGGAGGGCUAGGGUUUCUCUAAACCCUAAAUGUCUGGGCCAUCAGACUUAGGCCUAUAUAAUAUGCACCCUACAUAUAACUAAAUAACUAGCCCAAUAAUCUUUUGCA
Hibiscus syriacus is the source of this 755-nucleotide long non-coding RNA. RefSeq lists it as uncharacterized. The transcript is spliced from 2 exons. The record is from RefSeq and is a predicted model, not a curated record. Lineage: Eukaryota; Viridiplantae; Streptophyta; Magnoliopsida; Malvales; Malvaceae.